This 201-nucleotide ribosomal RNA is filed under the name uncultured Atopobium sp. RNAcentral describes it as "partial 16S ribosomal RNA". It matches the Rfam family "Bacterial small subunit ribosomal RNA", at positions 157 to 355 of the family's 1533-position model. The record is from RNAcentral. Lineage: Bacteria; Bacillati; Actinomycetota; Coriobacteriia; Coriobacteriales; Atopobiaceae.
CCGAGGUUAAUACCGGAUACUCCAUAUUUGUCGCAUGGCGAAUAUGGGGAAAAGCUCCGGCGGCAAAGGAUGGGCCCGCGGCCUGUUAGCUAGUUGGUGGGGUAGUGGCCUACCAAGGCAAUGAUGGGUAGCCGGGUUGAGAGACCGACCGGCCAGAUUGGGACUGAGACACGGCCCAGACUCCUACGGGAGGCAGCAGUU